GUGCUCACUUCAGCAGCACAUAUGCUAAAAUUGGAAUAUACAGAGAAGAUGAGCGUGGUCCCUGCGGAAAGAUGACAUGAAACUCAUGAGGCAUUCCACAUUCUU
This is a small nuclear RNA of Sciurus vulgaris (Eurasian red squirrel), 105 nucleotides long. The record is from Ensembl. NCBI's taxonomy places the organism in Eukaryota, Metazoa, Chordata, Mammalia, Rodentia, Sciuridae.